Non-coding RNA from Pelobates cultripes (western spadefoot toad), 207 nucleotides. NCBI's taxonomy places the organism in Eukaryota, Metazoa, Chordata, Amphibia, Anura, Pelobatidae. The record is from the annotation of a GenBank genome assembly.
GGCAGUGUUAUGGAAGUGAGUGUGAGAAUUCAGGGGUGGGUUAAUGUGGCAGUGUUAGGGGCUGAGUGUGAUAGGGUACGGGUGGUGAGUGUAGCAAUGGUAGUGGGAUGUGUGUGAGAGUUAAGGCGUGGUGAGACACUAUGUGAACACAGUCUACCCACAUUGACUAGUAAGGCUUUUUUUAUACAGAUAUGUAGCAUUUGUUCC